Molecule: long non-coding RNA, 339 nt
Organism: Gossypium arboreum
Lineage: Eukaryota; Viridiplantae; Streptophyta; Magnoliopsida; Malvales; Malvaceae
Exons: 2
Source: RefSeq, a predicted model, not a curated record
UCUGUCCAAAUUGCCCAUAGAGCACACACAAAGAUUUGGCACUGAUUAAGGGAAUUAUUUUUAAAAAAACCAGGGCAGUUGCGAAACACAUGUUCUCUGGAUUCCGUCGCUCCUGCACAUUUUGGACAUAUUGCGUUUGUUGUUAAUCGUUUGUACUAUAGAUUACAUAGGGUAGGCAAGAAAUUCAUAGAACACCGCCGUACUAUAAUCUUCAACUUUGAGGGCAAAUUUAAUCCCCAUAAUUUAUUGUAAAAAUUCAUGCGAGCUAUUUAGUUGUAUAGUUUAUUAGGCUCCCUAUAUUGUUGUAAUAAAGACUUGCAAGCACUUCGAACUAAACAA